RNAcentral lists this ribosomal RNA (570 nucleotides) under Leptobrachella lateralis. Its description in RNAcentral is "Xenophrys lateralis partial 16S ribosomal RNA". It matches the Rfam family "Bacterial large subunit ribosomal RNA", at positions 1836 to 2616 of the family's 2925-position model. Lineage: Eukaryota; Metazoa; Chordata; Amphibia; Anura; Megophryidae. The record is from RNAcentral.
UUGCACCCUAUAAGAGGUAAUGCCUGCCCAGUGACCAUGUGUUCAACGGCCGCGGUAUUCUGACCGCGCGAAGGUAGCGUAAUCACUUGUCUUCUAAAUAAAGACUAGUAUGAACGGCCACACGAAGACUUAACUGUCUCCCCUGUCCAAUCAGUGAAACUGAUCUCCUUGUGCAGAAGCGAGGAUAAACCCAUAAGACGAGAAGACCCUAUGGAGCUUUAAACUUAAUAUUAACUAUUUCUAUAAUCCCCUCUAAGGAAUUAACAAAUAACCCUUUUUCAACUUAAUAUUAGUUUUAGGUUGGGGCGACCAUGGAGAAAAAAAUAUCCUCCCUGAUGACUUUUAAACCAAGAGCUACAACUCUAAGUAUUAAGAUACUUAACUUCCAUUGACCCAUUUUAUGAUCAACGAACCAAGUUACCCUAGGGAUAACAGCGCAAUCCAUUUCAAGAGUCCCUAUCGACAAAUGGGUUUACGACCUCGAUGUUGGAUCAGGGCAUCCCAGUGGUGCAACCGCUACUAAUGGUUCGUUUGUUCAACGAUUAAAGCCCUACGUGAUCUGAGUCAGAC